Molecule: ribosomal RNA, 254 nt
Filed under: uncultured bacterium
Lineage: Bacteria
Description: partial 16S ribosomal RNA
Rfam family: Bacterial small subunit ribosomal RNA
Source: RNAcentral
UACGUAGGGUGCGAGCGUUGUCCGGAAUUAUUGGGCGUAAAGAGCUCGUAGGCGGUGUGUCACGUCGGCCGUGAAAACCUGCAGCUUAACUGUGGGCUUGCGGUCGAUACGGGCAUCACUGGAGUUCGGCAGGGGAGACUGGAAUUCCCGGUGUAGCGGUGAAAUGCGCAGAUAUCGGGAGGAACACCAACGGCGAAGGCAGCACUCUGGGCUGGAACUGACGCUCAGGCACGAAAGCGUGGGGAUCAAACAGG